Molecule: small nuclear RNA, 102 nt
Filed under: Salvator merianae (Argentine black and white tegu)
Lineage: Eukaryota; Metazoa; Chordata; Lepidosauria; Squamata; Teiidae
Source: RNAcentral
GUGUUCACUUCGGCAGCACAUAUACUAAAAUUGGAACAUUACAGAGAAGAUUAACAUGGCCCUUGCGCAAGGAGUCCUUUUGUAUAAUUUAAACUUAUUGGU